RNAcentral lists this long non-coding RNA (927 nucleotides) under Ursus maritimus (polar bear). RNAcentral's name for it is "lncRNA (ENSUMAG00000002300.1)". Lineage: Eukaryota; Metazoa; Chordata; Mammalia; Carnivora; Ursidae. The record is from RNAcentral.
AUGCCUGAGUUUCUACAGGCUUAAACAGAACGCCUUGUCUCCCCAACACCUUCUCUCUCCCGCCCUCAUGCACCAGGACUGGGCACUGUUCUAGGAGUACGGGUCCCAUACCUUGGAGGCACAACCGGACCCUUUGUCUUUCUACUUCUACAUUCUGGUUCUGAGUUGAUUUUGGACUCAGAAAUCCCACCAAGAUUCUAUGACACUCAUCUUGAAAUGCACACAGAUUGGAAAUUGAGGCUCACAGACGUUGUGCCCUGUUCAAGGAAGCGCACGUGCUGGGUGGAAACCCCACGCUGACAUGCAGGUGUAUCCAGACUAUCGGUAACAAGGGAGUAAAUACACAGAAGAGUCUGGAAUGCAGAAAACUGAGCAUCUUGUGCCAAAAAGAUGACAAAAGUCCAUUUGACUUCACCAUGGCAGAACUACCAGAGGUUCUGAACCGAGAUUACAUCGUUCAUGGUAAUCGGACAGCGGGAGAGUAGCCGAGCAGCAGCUCUGACUUCCAGCGUCUUGCCAGCGUUCCAGUCUAGCGGAGAGGGCUUUUCGAUGUGUCAAAGGGGAUGGGAUCACAGCUUGAAACUUCAGCCAAGAAUUGAAGAAAGAAUUUGAAAGAGGAAGACAUUCAUUCCUAAAGACGCUGAGGGAAAGAGCCACGUCUGUCUGUCCGUGUCCACCCCGUCUCCAGUCUCUUCCACCCCGGAGGGUGUUUGACUGAGCAUCUCCUUGUGUGUUCAUGAACAUAGUCUGCGUUCAGGAGGGGGAGCCCCCUUCUCCUGUUAGAGUCGGGACCUUUGUAGGCACCAUCCUGACAAUGUGUCCCAGAGCUCCACAGUGAGCUGUUGAUGUCCAUGGGCAGAGGAGAAAGCCCAGGAGCUGGAAGGUCCACUGGCUUCUGCUAUGUCACUUAGCCAGAACUCAGAAGAG